UACGUAGGGUCCGAGCGUUGUCCGGAAUUAUUGGGCGUGAAGGGCUCGUAGGCGGUUUGUUACGUCGGGAGUGAAAACUCAGGGCUCAACCCUGAGCGUGCUUUCGAUACGGGCAGACUAGAGGUAUUCAGGGGAGAACGGAAUUCCUGGUGUAGCGGUGGAAUGCGCAGAUAUCAGGAGGAACACCGGUGGCGAAGGCGGUUCUCUGGGAAUUACCUGACGCUGAGGAGCGAAAGCAUGGGGAGCGAACAGG
RNAcentral lists this ribosomal RNA (253 nucleotides) under uncultured bacterium. RNAcentral's name for it is "partial 16S ribosomal RNA". It matches the Rfam family "Bacterial small subunit ribosomal RNA", at positions 524 to 776 of the family's 1533-position model. The record is from RNAcentral.